Molecule: ribosomal RNA, 498 nt
Filed under: Methylobacterium sp. sh_2
Lineage: Bacteria; Pseudomonadati; Pseudomonadota; Alphaproteobacteria; Hyphomicrobiales; Methylobacteriaceae
Description: bacterial SSU rRNA
Rfam family: Bacterial small subunit ribosomal RNA
Source: RNAcentral
ACCUUACCAUCCUUUGACAUGGCNUGUUAUGGGGAGAGAUNUCCAGUCCUNUUCGGAGGCGCGCACACAGGUGCUGCAUGGCUGUCGUCAGCUCGUGUCGUGAGAUGUUGGGUUAAGUCCCGCAACGAGCGCAACCCACGUCCUUAGUUGCCAUCAUUCAGUUGGGCACUCUAGGGAGACUGCCGGUGAUAANCCGCGAGGAAGGUGUGGAUGACGUCAAGUCCUCAUGGCCCUUACGGGAUGGGCUACACACGUGNUACAAUGGCGGUGACAGUGGGACGCGAAGGGGUGACCCCGAGCCAAUCUCCAAAAGCCGUCUCAGUUCGGAUUGCACUCUGCAACUCGAGUGCAUGAAGGCGGAAUCGCUAGUAAUCGUGGAUCAGCAUGCCACGGUGAAUACGUUCCCGGGCNUUGUACACACCGCCCGUCACAGCCAUGGGAGUUGGUCUUACCCGACGGCGGCUGNAAACAACACGCCGGGGAGGCNUGGGAACGUUU